Non-coding RNA from Danio rerio (zebrafish), 115 nucleotides. NCBI's taxonomy places the organism in Eukaryota, Metazoa, Chordata, Actinopteri, Cypriniformes, Danionidae. The record is from Rfam.
GCCGGCAGCUAGCUCUCUGCAACUCUCACAUGGUCGCCCACUGAAGCUAAGCAGGGCUGCGCCCGGUCAGUACCUGGAUGGGAGACCACAUGGGAAAGCUAGGUUGCUGCUGGAA